CGUACUCAUAUGCUUGUCUCAAAGAUUAAGCCAUGCAUGUCUCAUUAUAACUGCCUCGCUGCGAAACUGCGAAUGGCUCAUUACCAACAGUCAUACUUUCCAUGUCAGUUCUUUACUACUUGCACCUCCACGGGAAUUCAACACCUAAUACCUGCGUCCAGACCCAACUUUGCGGAGACGGUUGCGCUUCUUACACAUUUAACCAUCCCGGACUUGCCCGGAUUCGAGGCGAUUGAUGGUAAUCUAACUAAUCUCACGCUUUGCGGCCAUGAAUCAUUCAAGUCUCUGACCUAUCAACUUCCGACGGUAGGGUAUUGUCCUACCGUGGCUUUGACGGGCUAACGGAUAAUUAUCGGUAUGAUUCCGGAAAGGGAGCCUGAGAAACAGCUACCACGUCAAAGGAAGGCGUCAGGCGCGCCAAUUACCCAAUCCUGACACAAGCAGGUAGUGACAAAAAAUACCGAUAUGAGGCUAUUUAGUCUUGUAAUUGGAAUGAGCACAAUUCACACAGCUGUUCGAGUAUCUAUU
Molecule: ribosomal RNA, 528 nt
Filed under: uncultured eukaryote
Lineage: Eukaryota
Description: bacterial SSU rRNA
Rfam family: Eukaryotic small subunit ribosomal RNA
Source: RNAcentral